UUGCUAAUUUGCUGACGAGUGGCGCACGGGUGCGUAACGCGUAUACAAUCUACCUUUUGCUGAGGGAUAGCCCAGAGAAAUUUGGAUUAACACCUCAUGGUAUUAUUGAUAGGCAUCUAUUAAUAAUUAAAGGUUACGGCAAAAGAUGAGUAUGCGUCCCAUUAGCUAGUUGGCGAGGUAACGGCUCACCAAGGCAACGAUGGGUAGGGGUCCUGAGAGGGAGAUCCCCCACACUGGUACUGAAACACGGACCAGACUCCUACGGGAGGCAGCAGUGAGGAAUAUUGGACAAUGGGCGAGAGCCUGAUCCAGCCAUGCCGCGUGCAGGAAGACUGCCCUAUGGGUUGUAAACUGCUUUUAUACAGGAAGAAUAAGCCUUACGUGUAAGGUGAUGACGGUACUGUAAGAAUAAGGACCGGCUAACUCCGUGCCAGCAGCCGCGGUAAUACGGAGGGUCCGAGCGUUAUCCGGAAUUAUUGGGUUUAAAGGGUCCGUAGGCGGAUGAUUAAGUC
Molecule: ribosomal RNA, 512 nt
Filed under: uncultured Aureimarina sp.
Lineage: Bacteria; Pseudomonadati; Bacteroidota; Flavobacteriia; Flavobacteriales; Flavobacteriaceae
Description: bacterial SSU rRNA
Rfam family: Bacterial small subunit ribosomal RNA
Source: RNAcentral